UAGGGAAUCUUCCACAAUGGGCGCAAGCCUGAUGGAGCAACACCGCGUGAGUGAAGAAGGGUUUCGGCUCGUAAAGCUCUGUUGUUAAAGAAGAACACGUAUGAGAGUAACUGUUCAUACGUUGACGGUAUUUAACCAGAAAGUCACGGCUAACUACGUGCCAGCAGCCGCGGUAAUACGUAGGUGGCAAGCGUUAUCCGGAUUUAUUGGGCGUAAAGAGAGUGCAGGCGGUUUUCUAAGUCUGAUGUGAAAGCCUUCGGCUUAACCGGAGAAGUGCAUCGGAAACUGGAUAACUUGAGUGCAGAAGAGGGUAGUGGAACUCCAUGUGUAGCGGUGGAAUGCGUAGAUAUAUGGAAGAACACCAGUGGCGAAGGCGGCUACCUGGUCUGCAACUGACGCUGAGACUCGAAAGCAUGGGUAGCGAACAGGAUUAGAUACCCUGGUAGUCCAUACCGUAAACGAUGAGUGCUAGGUGUUGGAGGGUUUCCGCCCUUCAGUGCCGGAGCUAACGCAUUAAGCACUCCGCCUGGGGAGUACGACCGCAAGGUU
RNAcentral lists this ribosomal RNA (549 nucleotides) under uncultured bacterium. RNAcentral describes it as "bacterial SSU rRNA". It matches the Rfam family "Bacterial small subunit ribosomal RNA", at positions 355 to 895 of the family's 1533-position model. The record is from RNAcentral.